Molecule: long non-coding RNA, 761 nt
Filed under: Zonotrichia albicollis (white-throated sparrow)
Lineage: Eukaryota; Metazoa; Chordata; Aves; Passeriformes; Passerellidae
Description: lncRNA (ENSZALG00000011984.1)
Source: RNAcentral
CUUCCCAUGAAGAAAUUAAGAACGGUCAUAGCUGUCCAAGAAGAUAACCAUUUCUCUUGAGGGUAAGGAUUGGUUAAGGACACUCCUUAGAUGUUGCUACAGUGGUGUGAAAAUUCAUCAUCUUAUAGGAAAAGCUAAUUUUAGGAAUUUAAGGAAUUACCCUGCUCACGUUGAGCUGAAGUGAAAGGACCAAUGAGAAGGCAAACCAGAAAACAUAAGGCCGGCACUGGAACUAAGCCAUUUAAGACCAAGUGCUAUUGUCCUCUGCUGCUGCUGCCGCUGCUGCUGGAGCACGGCAAGACUUUGAAACAGUCUCCAUGACAAUCAGAGAGAUGCAGUCUGGAUCCUAAUGGGGGUGACACAUGGCUGUGACUGUAUCCUGCAGAGCAAGGUUCUUUGUAUCACAUUUGAGCCAAGAAGCAUCUGAGCGAAAAGGUAUCCUGAAUACUGAAAUACUGGAUAUUUGUGUGUGUUUUUAAUGGACCAUGUGCAAACAGCCAUACAAAGUUAGUGAAGGAGGUAGCGGUUAUCCUACAGAAGGAAAUGUAGAACAAGAUGUGCAGAUUUGGAGACGAUGUGGAACUGACAACCUGAGAAAUGCCAUCCAUAAAGGAAGGCAAUGACUCAGAAGCCAGAGGGGGUCACUGAGGGAAGAAACCCAGGCCAGAAUAGAUCCCCAGGACACAUUUGCAAAGAGAUAAAAAUAGGAGAAAUGCUUUAGUUUUCACACAAUAAAGAAAGUUGCUAGAUUUGAAGAAUAA